AACGAACGCUGGCGGCAUGCCUAACACAUGCAAGUCGAACGAGACCUUCCGGUCUUUUGGCGCACGUGGGCGGAACGCGGGGGAACCUACCCUUAGGUUCGGAAUACCUCCCCGAAAGGUAUGCUAAGACCGGAUAAUGUCUUCGGACCAAAGAUUUAUCGCCUGUGGAUGGGCCCGCGUUGGAUUAGCUAGUUGGUAGGGUAAAAGCCUACCAAGGCGACGAUCCAUAGCUGGUCUGAGAGGAUGAUCAGCCAGACUGGGACUGAGACCCGGCCCAGACGCCUAGGGGAGGUAGCAGUGGGGAAUAUUGGACAGGGGGCGAAAGCCUGAUCCAGCAAUGCCGCGUGAGUGAUGAAGGCGUUAGGGUUGUAAAGCUCUUUUACCCGGGAUGAUAAUGACAGAACCGGGAGAAUAAGACCGGGCUAACUCCGU
This 432-nucleotide ribosomal RNA is filed under the name uncultured bacterium. RNAcentral describes it as "partial 16S ribosomal RNA". It matches the Rfam family "Bacterial small subunit ribosomal RNA", at positions 29 to 506 of the family's 1533-position model. The record is from RNAcentral.